RNAcentral lists this ribosomal RNA (253 nucleotides) under uncultured bacterium. RNAcentral describes it as "partial 16S ribosomal RNA". It matches the Rfam family "Bacterial small subunit ribosomal RNA", at positions 524 to 776 of the family's 1533-position model. The record is from RNAcentral.
UACGUAGGGGGCAAGCGUUGUCCGGAUUUACUGGGCGUAAAGAGCGUGUAGGCGGCCAUACAGGUCAGCUGUGAAAACUCGAGGCUCAACCUCGAGACGUCGGUUGAAACCGUAUGGCUAGAGUCCGGAAGAGGAGAGUGGAAUUCCCGGUGUAGCGGUGAAAUGCGCAGAUAUCGGGAAGAACACCCGUGGCGAAGGCGGCUCUCUGGGACGGUACUGACGCUGAGACGCGAAAGCGUGGGGAGCGAACAGG